Molecule: ribosomal RNA, 393 nt
Filed under: uncultured microorganism
Description: bacterial SSU rRNA
Rfam family: Archaeal small subunit ribosomal RNA
Source: RNAcentral
GUGCAGCAGGCGAGAAUCCUCCGCAAUGCGGGAAACCGUGACGGGGUCACCCCGAGUGCCACCCGAUGAGGGUGGCUUUUCCCCGGUCUAAAAGGCCGGGGGCAAUAAGCGGGGGGCAAGUCUGGUGUCAGCCGCCGCGGUAAUACCAGCCCCGCGAGUGGUCGGGACGUUUAUUGGGCCUAAAGCGUCCGUAGCCGGCUCGGUAAGUCCCUCCUUAAAUCCACGGGCUCAACCCGUGGGCUGGGAGGGAUACUGCCGGGCUAGGGGGCGGGAGAGGCCGAGGGUACUCCCGGGGGUAGGGGCGAAAUCCGUUAAUCCCGGGAGGACCACCAGUGGCGAAGGCGCUCGGCUGGAACGCGCCCGACGGUGAGGGACGAAAGCUGGGGGAGCAAA